AGAGAGGGGAGGAUGGGUGCAUAAAAAGGAGCAACAAGCUGCAAUUUAGCUGAGCGACACCUUCUUCCAUCCACCUGGGACGCUCCAGUGGGCCUCCUCCAACCUCCUCCAGGCUGCAGCUAGCCAGCUCUGCACCUCAACCUGCAGUCUGCAGCAUGCAAGCAUUUCUGCUCUGUGCUGUGUGACUGUCUGAGUGUGUCUGCUGGUUGUUGCAAGAGAAGAUUCAAGAGAGACCUGUUGUGUCAGAAGAGAGAGUGGUGGUGGAUCCCAGCUCCACCAACUUUGCAAACCUCAUUUGCACCAUGGGGAUUUGUGUGGGCAAAAUAGGAUGCAAAUUCAAAGAGGCAGGCCAUAGCAACAGCAUUGGUCCCCACCAGCACACACCGUGGGAAGUCUGGAUAGCCUGGACAUAAGUGGUCUGCUGUGGGGGUGCCGGCAAUAGCUGCUGCAACUGUGACCAUGGAAACACGAAGCACUCCAAAUAUAGACUUUUCGACGGCAACUCGAAUCUUGAGUGAAUCACUUUUAUCAACCGAAUAUCACUUGGAAUACCUAAACAGUUUGCAACUGGAGGAUUACUUAAUGCAACUGGAUCACUUAAUAAUUAGCAACUGGAUCACUUUAACAAUUUGUUUUCUUAAGGAUCGCAAACCGAGCCACUUACGGGCAUGCAACUCAACUCAUCACUUGUGGCAGCCGUAUAUUACUUAGUCAACGCAAUCACUUGAUGGCAACUUUACCACUUAUAGACCAAACCCCCUUCGCAAUACGUCACUUUAAUGGUAGCUUAUAUCGCUUGAAGUCAACCUAAUCACUUAUAAAACAGUCUGACAACUUAAUCGCUUAGUCAACUUAAUCACUUAUUGCAUCAACAUGAUCACUUAUUCGUAUCCAAUCUAUCUCUUCAUAGCAACUGUAUCAUUUAUCUAACCUUAAAAUCACUUCCUCUGGCAACCUAUCACUUAUUCAGAGACUAACAACAUAUCACUUAUGGCAAGAAAAUCACUUCUGGAAAGCUUUGGCGAUAUCACUUAUUCCCCUUCGGCAAUCUUCACUUCAAAACUUAUAUCACUUUUAUACUUAAAGCCACGAAAUCACUUAUACAUGAACUAUGGCAACAAUCACUUCAUUCAUCUCCCCUCCCCUUUAAGACGGCAGCCCGAUCGAACCAACCAACCAACCCCUCUCACUUGAACUAGAGCCAAGACAAGAACGAACUCUUUAUUGAGUGUCCUUGCAAAGCUCACCCUGUACUGUGUGAUCACUUAUGUCACGUAGUUUACAAUGUCUUAUACGAUUAUAUACAUGAUUAUUAAUAGAUGUUUUUGUCAGCAGACAAUCAUAUUUCAACGUGUUUUUAAUCUUUGUGCAAUCGAUGAUUUUAAUCCACUUAUCAUUACAGAGCUUGAA
Molecule: long non-coding RNA, 1410 nt
Organism: Halichondria panicea
Lineage: Eukaryota; Metazoa; Porifera; Demospongiae; Suberitida; Halichondriidae
Exons: 4
Source: RefSeq, a predicted model, not a curated record